Non-coding RNA from Cherax quadricarinatus, 352 nucleotides. Lineage: Eukaryota; Metazoa; Arthropoda; Malacostraca; Decapoda; Parastacidae. The record is from RefSeq and is a predicted model, not a curated record.
ACACUGCUAGGUGUAUAUCUCACAGUGUAUAUACACUACUAGGUGUAUAUCUCACAGUAUAUAUACACUGCUAGGUGUAUAUCUCACAGUGUAUAUACACUGCUAGGUGUAUAUCUCACAGUGUAUAUACACUGCUAGGUGUAUAUCUCACAGUGUAUAUACACUACUAGGUGUAUAUCUCAGUGUAUAUACACUGCUAGGUGUAUAUCUCACAGUGUAUAUACACUGCUAGGUGUAUAUCUCACAGUGUAUAUCUCACAGUGUAUAUACACUGCUAGGUGUAUAUCUCACAGUGUAUAUACACUGCUAGGUGUAUAUCUCACAGUGUAUAUACACUACUAGAUGUAUAUCU